This 363-nucleotide unclassified non-coding RNA is filed under the name uncultured Chloroflexota bacterium. RNAcentral describes it as "uncultured Chloroflexi bacterium contains 16S-23S intergenic spacer region". Lineage: Bacteria; Bacillati; Chloroflexota. The record is from RNAcentral.
UCCGGUUUAGACCGGCGGUCUCCCUAGACAUGAUAACUAAGGACAAGGGUUGCGCUCGUUGCGGGACUUAACCCAACACCUCACGGCACGAGCUGACGACAGCCAUGCAGCAUCUGUGCACGCUCCCUCGCGGGUCCCUUCUCUUACAAGUUGGUACCACGUGCAUGUCAAGCCGAGGUAAGGUUCUGCGCGUUGCAUCGAAUUAAACCACACGCUCCGCUGCUUGUGCGGGCCCCCGCCUAUUCCUUUGAGUUUUAACCUUGCGGCCGUAGUCCCCAGGCGGUGAACUUAAUGCGUUAGCUGCGGCACUGAUCGGGUCAAUCCGACCAACACCUAGUUCACAACGUUUAGGGCGUGGACUAC